RNAcentral lists this ribosomal RNA (465 nucleotides) under uncultured bacterium. RNAcentral's name for it is "partial 16S ribosomal RNA". It matches the Rfam family "Bacterial small subunit ribosomal RNA", at positions 338 to 795 of the family's 1533-position model. The record is from RNAcentral.
CCUACGGGUGGCAGCAGUGGGGAAUAUUGCGCAAUGGGCGAAAGCCUGACGCAGCGACGCCGCGUGAGGGAUGAAGGUCUUCGGAUCGUAAACCUCUGUCAGCAGGGAAGAACGGUCACUGUGCUAAUCAGCCGUGAAUUGACGGUACCUGCAAAGGAAGCACCGGCUAACUCCGUGCCAGCAGCCGCGGUAAUACGGAGGGUGCGAGCGUUACUCGGAAUUACUGGGCUUAAAGCGCUCGUAGGAGGUAUGUCCAGUACAGGGUGAAAUCCCCGCGCUCAACGUGGGAACUGCCUUUGAAACUGGCAAACUGGAGUGUGUGAGAGGAUAGUGGAAUUCCAGGUGUAGGAGUGAAAUCCGUAGAUAUCUGGAGGAACAUCAGUGGCGAAGGCGACUAUCUGGCACAUAACUGACGCUGAGGAGCGAAAGCGUGGGUAGCAAACAGGAUUAGAUACCCGUGUAGUC